This is a long non-coding RNA of Neopelma chrysocephalum (saffron-crested tyrant-manakin), 1342 nucleotides long. RefSeq lists it as uncharacterized. NCBI's taxonomy places the organism in Eukaryota, Metazoa, Chordata, Aves, Passeriformes, Pipridae. The transcript is spliced from 3 exons. The record is from RefSeq and is a predicted model, not a curated record.
UAGAGUUCAAUCUUAUUUUUCUAAACAAACACCUUAAAAUAAAUGAUGUGAUGCAGUCCAUUCAUGUUGUAAAGGAGCAGAACCCCUCUUACCCUUCAAGAUUAAUCUAAAGGUGUAAUAUGUGUACAAGCACAUUUUUGGGCCUAGCAAAUAUCUAUGAUAAGAAAGUCACGUUGCAGUAAAAUAUUUCUGAAACAGGUGAGUGGUGAUGACGACGGAAGAGCUUUUGCUGUACUCUUCUCCAGGUGAGAUGGGCUGUGUGAGAUGGAUAGUGCUUCCUGAAUUACUUCAAUGGCUUCUGUGUGAUUCAUCUGUCUCAAAGCAGCGAUCAACUCCUGAACUGUACCACCAGAGACCUAAGAGAGAAGAGACCAGAUGCUCACCAUCCUCUAGGCUGGCUAGAACUGAAGGGCUCCUCACUGUCCAGGAGGACAAUGUUCUCUACACGUCUGAAUGUUCUUUAUAACUUGUUACAGCCACGUUACCUCAUAGUUAUCUAGCAGAGUUUUCGAUGGAGAAGGGCUCAACCUGAAGGCAUUAUUAAGUAUGCCAAGACCCAGUUUUUGUGCUAGAGUGGACCAGUUUUUGGUAGGAUCAGGCAAUUCCAACAGUUUGUAAAGCUGCAUCUUGGAACUUUCAUUCAGCUCUCUCAAGUUUCCUGGCGAACAAAGAAAUAUGUUAGUUUAUUAUUUACACAAAUCAUGCACCAGUUCAUUUCUAAGCAGAAACAAAACUAAACUGAAGAGUAUAUUAGCAUCCAGUCCCAGUGUUUAUAAAUGUAUUGUUGUGAUAUUGAAAAUGUAUUCCUUUGUGUCCUUAUGGCCUCUUAAGGGAAUCAUGCUCAUUCUGAGAGCAAGUGGUUGGGAAGGUACCUCUUCUCCCUCACCAGUUCAGUUACAAGCUAUUGCAGGGCAAUGGCUUCUGCCACUAUGGUUUGAGAAUUCAAUUACUAGAGGGAUAUUGUCAAGUCUUUAUAGAUGUUACCUCGUGUCAGCAAGUCCUCCAAAACCUCUGUUGACUGGUAGGGUUUCCCAUUUAAUAUGUCAUACACCUAAGAGAAUACAUUAAAUUCAGUAUUUAGCAGAAACCUUGUUAGUAUCCAUUAUCUUGACAAGUCUCAGCAGUAUUGUACCUAAUUCCAUCUGUAAAUCAGCAUUUUUUCCUCUCUGAGGUUCAGUAGUCUGUUAAGUGGAGCUUUCUUCCAAUGUUAUUUCAUUGGGGGAGUUUUGUGGCUGAAUUAGUUUAAUUUUUGAUGGCAAAUUAUUUGCUUGUCUCUACUGAAAUAGUGAGAUGGAUGCAGUGAAAGGAGCUAGCUAAGAGAUCUGAACUGUUCUUGAUGAUU